UACGUAGGGCGCAAGCGUUGUCCGGAAUUAUUGGGCGUAAAGAGCUCGUAGGCGGUUUGUCGCGUCUGUCGUGAAAGCCCACGGCUUAACUGUGGGUCUGCGGUGGAUACGGGCAGACUAGAGGCAGGUAGGGGAGAAUGGAAUUCCCGGUGUAGCGGUGAAAUGCGCAGAUAUCGGGAGGAACACCGGUGGCGAAGGCGGUUCUCUGGGCCUGUACUGACGCUGAGAAGCGAAAGCGUGGGGAGCGAACAGG
Molecule: ribosomal RNA, 253 nt
Filed under: uncultured bacterium
Lineage: Bacteria
Description: partial 16S ribosomal RNA
Rfam family: Bacterial small subunit ribosomal RNA
Source: RNAcentral